RNAcentral lists this long non-coding RNA (1188 nucleotides) under Carica papaya (papaya). Its description in RNAcentral is "long non-coding RNA (CPAP_LNC001964)". The record is from RNAcentral. Lineage: Eukaryota; Viridiplantae; Streptophyta; Magnoliopsida; Brassicales; Caricaceae.
AUCCCUAAAAUUACGUCAAAAUCCCUCGUGUCUAAUUGUAUCAAGUCUACACUCAGUUUUCUAUUUGCUAUCUCUACAGCACAAGCCUUGUAGACAACUUUUUCUAGUAAUGUUGCACUCCCAGCAGUAGAUACAAAUAAUAUUGAAUCAAGUUUAUCAGGUAAUACAUUAAAUUUGGAUGCAAAAACAGGUGAAACAAAUUAAUGCGAUGCACCAGUGUCAAACAAAACAUUAGCAAGAUGGUUACAGAUAGUGUACAUGCCCUAUACUACGUCCAGGUCGGCGUCGACAUCCUGCUGAGUGAGGUUGUAAGCCCUACCUUGAAUAGGAGGUCUUCCUUGAUUCUGGUUCCUUGGUCACUCUCUCACAUAGUGUUGGGCACUACCACAUAUGCGACAAGUGUUGUUGAGGCGGUAACAUGGUCGGUCCCCGUGAUCCAUGCCGCAAUGUUGACAGAUUUUACCACGUCCUGCCACUGGAGCGUGAGGGGGAUCCUGGAUCACCGGUCUGGGCCUCUUGUUCUGUUGGACAGGCGUAGUAGGUGUUGAUCUGUGGAAUGGAGCUGAGGGUCGGUGGUUCCCUGCUGGCGGAGGGAGGGUGUGGAGGCUCCUUUCAACUAACUGUGUCUUGGUCAGAAUAGCUGAGUAUGUCUUGAGCUCCAAAACAAAUAGAUGUUGUUUGAUCUCCGAGUAGAGGCCCCACUAGAACCUCCUAGCCUUCCUACCCUCAUCAAUCAACGUCUCUAGGGAGUAUCUGCCCAACUCCAGGAACUUACGGGCAUAUUCUGACACCGUUAUGUUCCCCUGGACCAAUUGGACAAAUUCUAUCUCCUUUAGAUGUCGGAUAUACUCUAGGAGGUACUCUGCAUUGAAGGCUACUAAGAACUGUUCCCAAGUGACUAGAACAGGUAGGGUGGUUUGCUUGAGUUCCCACCAAUGGUCUGCUUCUCCCACCAGCAUGUACGUAGUAAGGGUGACCCUUGCUCGGAAGUCACUCCUAGGGUCUUGAAGACCUUCUCCGUCUCUGCCAACCAAUACUGGGCAUUUUCAAAUGAGGAUUCCCCUCUAAAAGUGGAUGGGUUCAGUCUCCUGUACCUCUCUACGUAGCUUGUGUCAAUCAUGGACUGAGUUGGGUCCGGCAGAAGUGGGACUGGGCCAGACUGAGGAUAAACUAGGGGGUCCUGUGGUG